Long non-coding RNA from Meriones unguiculatus (Mongolian gerbil), 5328 nucleotides. RefSeq lists it as uncharacterized. The transcript is spliced from 2 exons. Lineage: Eukaryota; Metazoa; Chordata; Mammalia; Rodentia; Muridae. The record is from RefSeq and is a predicted model, not a curated record.
GUCCGGUUCUCCGCCCAGCCUAACCCUACGGGUGCCUGGUGGAGCCGAGCGCGGUGCGCCUGCGGACUGUCCCUGCAUCCCACGCGCAGUGGGCGUUACUAACGGACAGCGCCUGCCUCUGGGGCCUCAGAUACAGUGAUGCUUCGGGAACUGUGCACCCUCUCGCCCGUUACCGACUAAUCCCGUCCGACCCGGCCCUUGAUGAUGUUCAUGGAGGACCAGGAUAUGAAUAUAAGUAGCUGCCGCUGUGGCUCUAGCUAAGGACCGCGCGAAGCGUGUUGGAGGGUGUGUUUCCAGCUCACCUCGAAGUUUAAAAAAACAACAACAAAAAAACCAAAACAAAAAACUAUUCGCUGACUUGACGGUUAACCCUCACUUGACAGUAAGGGUAAAAUCGAUCUGAAGGAAAGAAUUGGUGCACGUUAAUUUGAACCAAAUCUCCUAGGAGCCAGGACUAAAGGAUCAGAGCUCACCAAAGGAAAUCACAACGGGGUACGAGUUCCCGAGAACCUGCUGUAAAUACGCCGGUGUAUUUAAUGCACUUGGGACCUGCAAGUUAGGUAACAUCCAGAGCUCCUUCCCAAAUGAAGGACCGUCGCACAGGUCUUCGUGGAUGACCUGAGACUACCAAAUCAACCAGCCUGGCUUUGGACUCAUGGGCAGGCAUACUGUCACAGCUUCCAGAGUGCUGGGAUUAUAGGCAUGUGCCACCAUGCACAGCUCUGUUUUUUUAUUUUUUUAUUUUGAGAUGGGGGUCUCACUUUGUAACCCAGCUGAGUUGCAGCAAUUCUCCUGUCCUGGCCUCCAGAGUGCUGAGUUUUCAGGUGUCUAUGGCCACACCCAACUUACUUUCUGUAUCUUAGGAUGUUUUGAUAUUUCCCAAAGCUUGAAGGCUUGGGGGAGGUGGAUGCUUUUCGGGUAGUCAUUGUUUGGGGCCACAAAGCGCUCUCGACCAGGGGCGCGGCCAUCCUGAACAAACCAAGCAAUCCUGAGUCUGUAUUCCCAACAACUUCUUAAUUGAAGUCUCAUACUCAAGCCAGCUUUUUCCUCCCCUAAUUGACCCAAUGCCAGAUAUCAGGCAACUGGCCACAACUCCUGUACCCAACCCCAUGGAACUAUUCCAAUUUGCCAAUGCUGAGCACCUUGCUGUACCCAGGUUUGCUUUUCCCUCAGAAAUGCCAGAAAAGAGACUUCCUCAGACUUCCCCCACAUUCUACUUCUUUGUUUUAAGAGCCCAGGUUACUCUGCAACUUUCCACGUAGCCUACUUACCUUGAACGCGUGACUCUCCUGCAUCAGGCUCCUGAGUGCUGAGACUGCAUGUGCACAUCUGCACAGUGAGCUUUCUCCCGCCAACCUGUGUCCUGCUGCUUCAUGCAGACUUGCUGCUUACCCCUGGCCCUGCCUAGCCACGGGGCACCGCCCUCUCUGGGUGGGAUCUGUGACUGUAGAACCAUCUUCCUUCCAAGUUCCCUUCUGGUCUCCUCCAGGGGCCGUAAGAUCUUUACCAUCCCACCUUCAACAUCUGCAUCCUUAAUAAGUACAGGUGUCUAGGAAAGGGGUUGUGAGGACAUAGGACAGAUGAUAAGCCAAAUGUCUUAACUCACCUUGAGAAAUAGAUGAAAGAAACUCGGAGACUAUUGGGAAUUCUCCUCUUUCAGUGGAGAUCCUCUUGGUAGGGGGCUGUCAACAGACUUGACCACAGGAGUCAGGUCCUGGGAUGAUGACUUGGUCACACUCUGUUGCACCAAUAAGCCUCCUAGAAACAAAGAGGAGGGGUUGUCAUUAAGAAAGGAUACUAGGAGCCAGAAGGAUGGCUCAGUGGGUAGCGUUCUAUCUCCAAAACUCACAUUUUAGAACAAGCUGUCCUCUGAUCUCCACAUGUGCACUGAGGCCUGCAUGCCCACACACAUAAAGGAAAUGAAUGUGAAAGAACAUUUAAAGGAGGGCAUUAGGACUGAGGAACAAGCACAGCUGGCGGAGCGCCGCCCUGGUAUGCGGGAAGCUUCUCCUGCCGAACCAUGUAAAGGGAGCUGGUAGCUCAGCCCUGUGUGCCUGCACACCCAAAGGUGGGGGUAGCUCCGUCAGGAGUUCUCUGGGGACAUAGUGAGUUCUUUGCUCUCUAUCUUGCAUGGCUCUCCAUUUCAUGGAGACCAUAAAAUGCCAUUAAAGGCUCUCCCUCAGAAUCUCUGCUCAUUCUCAUUCUUUUUAAUCUCUGCGUGUGUCUGGGGCAGGGGGGACAGGGCACACAUGACAUGGUACAUGUGUGCAGGGCCACAGAGCUUCCCUGGGCAUCAGAGCUGGCCUUCAAGCUUUUCUUGAGGCAGGGUCUUUUGCUCUCCUUUGCGUAUGCCAGGCUAGCUCCUCUCUGCCUGCCCUUUCACCACAGGAGAGCUGAGAACACUCACAGGCACUUCCCUGAUGGGAUUAGAGGCCCACAUCACCACAUGCUGCUUUUGGCCCUCAUUCUUAUCUUCUGCCACUUGGUCGAUUCUAGGACCUCCCCCUAGACCCUGUCUGCCAUGACUUAACCCCUCUCUGUGUAGGAUCUGUGACUGUAUAACCAUCCUCCUUCCAAGUCUGCUUCAGGUCCUCUCUUGGGAUUAUAAAGUCUUUACCACCUCCAGUGUGGAUCCAGUCCCUCUGCAUCCUUAGUCUACGCUGCAGGUAUCGGGAAAAAGGACUGGGUCGGGCACAGGACAGAUGGCAAACCAGGUAUCCAAUUCACCUCAAGAAAUAGAGGGAAGAGACUUAGCGCAUUUCUCUGAAUGGAGAUGCUAAUGGUGAAAGGUAACGAAGGGAAAUGACCUCUAAGGUCGGAGGUCCUCUGACAAGAAUGCCCUCAGUCAGCACUGGCAGCACAGCUCAGGCUCCUAAAGGCAAAGGUUCAGGAUUGUUCUUAGAAAAGACACGGGGGCUGGGCUGGGCCUGUAAUCCAGGCAGUAGAGUGCUUGCUUAACUAGCCUGAAGCUCUGGGUUGGAUUCCCCAGCACCAAAUGUAAAUAUGGCCACUUAUGCCUGUAAUCCCAGCUCUUGGGGAAGUGGAGGCAGGAGGAUCAGGCCAUCCUGUGCUACACUGCAGGGGUCGAGGCCAGCCAGCACCACCUGAGCCCCAGUCUCAGGAAAGUGUAUAGGAAAAGCCACAAAACAAAGGGGAUUGCAAAGGAGUGCGCAGCGGAUAGUGUCAACCCAGACCCUCUAACCACUGCUCCCGCUCCCCAAACCAGGGGAGCCCCCCUGCAGUCUCUCAAGGUCAGCUGCAGAGCUGCUGGGACCUGACAGCUCUUCCAGAGUUCUGUUCUCUCCACACCCCUACAGCUGCAAGCCCAGCCCCUCUGAUGAUGCCCAGACACCCUUGAAUUAAACGGACAAAAGCAACACCUUCUCCCACUGUUCUCUGGAACUGAACUGUGUCUCUUUCCCUUCAGGGUCCCCAUGGCGGUACUUAGUGGCUCUCUUGACUUACACACUCCCACCUCAGACCCCACAUGGCUGCUGCUGUCUGCGAGCUGGUAGCUCUCCCUAAUAAAGCUCUAUCAAGGGUGAAUCCCUCCAGCUUCUAUUUCCUGUGAUCCCAUCUUUAUCUGUUGUUUACAACAGGUAUCUGUUCUCUUAGGAGUUACUAGAGGAAAUUCACAGUUGUCUGAAAAAUGCCUAUAGAGCCAGCCAUGGGUGGCUGUGCCUGUCAGGUUAGCACUUAGGAGAUGGAGUCGGGAUCAUCAUCAAGACUUCAGGGUGACCCUCUGCAAGAGGCCAGCCUGGGCCACGAGUCCCCACUUCAAAAAAACUAACCUGCAAACUGUCAACAGAAAUGUUAUUUUGAGCAGGGGAAAUGGCAGUGACACAACCCUUUCACUGGCAAGUGGCUGCAGUCACAGCCCUGCUGUUUUUGACUCUUUAUAAUCACCGUGAAGGCACUCAGCAGCUGCAGAAGACCGCCAGAGCCACGGCUAAAGCCCAAGACGGCCUGCAUUGACCUGGGAAAUUGGCCCUCCUAAGUAGGAGGGGGCUGAGUAGACUCUCCAUGACCCUGCAGCCUUUCACCCUGGCCAGAAGGGAGUAAUUCAUCCUCACAGCCAGCCUGUGAUUGACGUAACCAUAAUCCUUAUGAGUGACGGACUGUGUCAUUGGUGUAAUACCUGUGUCAUAACUGUACCCUGGGUAAAUAAGCUAUGUAAGCUGAAAAAUGUUUUUAAAUUUUGAGGCAAGGUCGGGAUUCAAGCUGACAUGUAGCCAGGGUUCCUUUUUUUUUUUUUUUUUUUUUUUUAAGUGAUUUAUUUGAAUGUGCAUUGAUGUUUUGUCUGCAUGUAUGCCUGUGUGAGGGUGUCAGAUCCCCUGGAAUGGAGUCAUAGAUAGUUGUGAGCUGCCAUGAGGAUGCUGGGAAUUGAACCCAGGUCCUCUGGAAGGACAGCCAGUGCUCUUAACUGCUGAGCCAUCUCUCCAACCCCGCCUCCCCCUAAAUCCUUUUGUUUUGGUUUUAUCAAGACAGGGUUUCUCUGUGUAGCCUUUGCUGUCCUGACUCACUUUAUAGACCAUGCUGGCCUCAAACUCACAGCCUUUAUGAAUCUGCCUGCCUCUGCCUCUCAGACGUGGCCACCACUCCCUACUCGAUUCUCCUGCUUUAACCUCUAGACUGGGACUGUGGGGAAAAGCCCUCCUGAUUGCUUUGGUUGACUUGAAACAGUGUUUCCCUUUGCGUCUUAGUCUGCCCUGGAACUCACAGCAAUACUCUUACUUCCAGAGUGCUGAACUUAGACCUUGUGUAUUGUCAUCCUUGACCUAGUUCUGUAUCCUACAAUGUUUUUACAGCUUCCAAAGCUUUCAGUCUGAAUAGUGUCUCCUACUGCUCCUGGGGUCACAGAUUGUUGGGAGCAGAAACAGCUCUUUUCCUGGAGCUUGUCUUUGAACUACAAACCAAUCCAGAGUCUAAGGAAACAAUUUAUUUGUUGCAGACCCUAAAACAAUGGGGUCACAGCUUCAUGUACUCAUAGCCAGUAAAGCUCAGCCUGCACAGGGAUGAGGUAUAGAAAUGUUAAACACUAGCCUCCUAUCAAAUACUGUAAAACUGUGGCGUUUGUGACAAAGAAUUCAGUCUUUUUAUAUCCCCCACCUCGUAAGAUUUUUCUGCACAUAUUUUAAUCCCUCCCCAGCCUGUCAAAGCCUUUGUUAUAGAGAGUGACUUAAGGAGCCCUUCCUGGUUUCCUUCUCUUCAUUUGCUCUGAUGCUUUUUAACUAGCCAAUCAAAACCUCCCGUGAGGUCAGACCCCAGCCAAUGGAGAAAAGACACAGUCACCACCUACCUUAAAAUAAAAACCAAGUGUUCUUCCUA